AACGCGAAGAACCUUACCUGGGCUUGACAUGUGAGUGACCGGCGUGGAAACACGUCUUCCCUUCGGGGCACUUUCACAGGUGGUGCAUGGCUGUCGUCAGCUCGUGUCGUGAGAUGUUGGGUUAAGUCCCGCAACGAGCGCAACCCCCGUCGCAUGUUGCCAGCAUUUAGUUGGGGACUCAUGCGAGACUGCCGGUGACAAACCGGAGGAAGGUGGGGAUGACGUCAAGUCCUCAUGCCCCUUAUGUUCAGGGCUACACACGUGCUACAUUGGCGCAUACAGAGGGCUGCGAUACCGCGAGGUGGAGCGAAUCCCUUAAAGUGCGUCUCGGUUCGGAUUGCAGGCUGAAAUUCGCCUGCAUGAAGGCGGAGUUGCUAGUAAUCGCGGAUCAGCAUUGCCGCGGUGAAUACGUUCCCGGGCCUUGUA
This 426-nucleotide ribosomal RNA is filed under the name uncultured Actinomycetes bacterium. RNAcentral's name for it is "bacterial SSU rRNA". It matches the Rfam family "Bacterial small subunit ribosomal RNA", at positions 958 to 1385 of the family's 1533-position model. Lineage: Bacteria; Bacillati; Actinomycetota; Actinomycetes. The record is from RNAcentral.